This 395-nucleotide unclassified non-coding RNA is filed under the name fungal sp. Its description in RNAcentral is "partial internal transcribed spacer region". The stretch from base 1 to 46 matches the Rfam family "Eukaryotic small subunit ribosomal RNA", at positions 1786 to 1831 of the family's 1831-position model. Lineage: Eukaryota; Fungi. The record is from RNAcentral.
AAGUCGUAACAAGGUUUCCGUAGGUGAACCUGCGGAAGGAUCAUUAACACGUAUCCAACGUUAAACAACCCUGUGAACCUUCAGACAGUUCUUCUAGCCCACGCGGAACAGCAAUCCCGGUAAAUCAAGUGGCGGAAAGUUUUUUUUGAUUCGGGACCUCUUUCCGAGUGGUAUCAAGUUAGAAUCCGAACUUGAGCAGUGGCAUGGUUUCCCUACGCAGUGCAGAAGGAUCCACUGAUAAGGAUGACGCCUCACGGUUGCUAGCGGUCGAUCACCGAUCAGCAGACAUGUCACAGGGCUUUACGCCCCUUCGUUCACACCUUGCCUAUUUAAGCCCCGCGGAAACGCCUGGGCUAAAAACCGAACAACUGUUAACAAUGGAUAUCUUGGUUCUC